CCCUACGGGAGGCAGCAGUUAAGAAUCUUGCACAAUGGGGGCAACCCUGAUGCAGCGACGCCGCGUGGAUGAUGAAGGCCUUCGGGUUGUAAAGUCCGGUAAGCAGGGAAGAAUAAGCGGGGGGUAAUAUUCCUCGUGAUGACGGUACCUGCCUAAAGCCCCGGCUAACUACGUGCCAGCAGCCGCGGUAAUACGUAUGGGGCAAGCGUUGUUCGGAAUUAUUGGGCGUAAAGGGCGUCUAGGCGGGGGAUUAAGUUAGAUGUGAAAGCCAUGGGCUCAACCCAUGAACUGCAUCUAAGACUGGUUCUCUUGAGUUCGGGAGAGGAGAGCGGAAUUCCAGGUGUAGCGGUGAAAUGCGUAGAUAUCUGGAAGAACACCAGUGGCGAAGGCGGCUCUCUGGCCUAGAACUGACGCUGAAGCGCGAAAGCGUGGGGAGCGAACAGGAUUAGAUACCCUUGUAGUC
Molecule: ribosomal RNA, 463 nt
Filed under: uncultured bacterium
Lineage: Bacteria
Description: bacterial SSU rRNA
Rfam family: Bacterial small subunit ribosomal RNA
Source: RNAcentral